AGUUCGAUCAUGGCUCAGAUUGAACGCUGGCAGGAUGCUUUACACAUGCAAGUCGAACGGCAGCACGGACUUCGGUCUGGUGGCGAGUGGCGAACAGGUGAGUAAUGUAUCGGAACGUGCCUAGUAGCGAAAGAGGAUAACUACGCGAAAGCGUAGCUAAUACCGCAUGCGCCCUUCAGGAAAAGCGGGGGACCUUCAGGCCUCGCACUAUUAGAGCGGCCGAUAUCGGAUUAGCUAGUUGGUGGAAUUAACAGCUCGCAAGGCGACGAUCCGUAGCUGGAUUUGAAGACGAUACUCCUCGAACUGAAGAGACAUGGAAAAAGACUCCUACAGGGAGGGGCGGCAGUGAAAUUUUGGACAAUGGGGAAACCUGAUCCAGCAUACAUCCGCGUGUGCGAUGAAAGCCUUCAGGUUGUAAAGCACUUUGCAGCAGGAAAAAAGCAGCUGCAGGAUAAUGCCGUGCAACUGACGAUACCUGCAGAAUAGCACCAGCUAACUACGUGCCAACAGCCGCGAUACAAUACGUAGGAGUGCAAGCGUUAAUCAGGAGUACUGGGCGUAAAGCGUGCGCGAGCGGUUCGGAAGAAAGAUGUAGAAAUCCCAGAGCUUAACUUUUGGAACUGCAUUUUUUUAACUACCCGAGCUAGAGUGUGUCAGAGGGAGGUGGGAUUCGCGUGUAGCAGUGAAAUGCGUAGAUAUGCGGAGGAACACCGAUAAGCGAAGGCAGCCUCCUGGGAUAACACUGACGCUCAUGCACCAAAAAACGUGGGAGCAAACAGGAUUAGAUACCCUGGUAGUCCCGCCUAAACGAUGUCAACUAGCUGUUGGGGCCUUCGGGCCGCGUGGCACCCCAGCUAACGCGUAAGUUGACCGCCUGGGAGGUACAGUCGCAAGAUUAAACUCAAGGUGGCCCGAGGGACCACACAAGCAGUGGAUGAUGUGGAUUAAUUCGAUGCAACGCGAAAACCUUACCUACCCUUGACAUGUCUAGGUCGAAAGAGAUUUGGGAGUGCUCGCAAGAGAACCGGAACGCAGGUGCUGCAUAGCUGUCGUCAGCGCACCUUCAUUAAUGUCGUGAGAUGUGAGUUGGUCGCAACGAGCACAACCCUUGUCGUUAGUUGCUACGAAGGGCGCUCUGGUAAGGGCUGCCAGUGACAAACCGGAGGAAGGUGAGGAUGACGUCAAGUCCUCAUGGCCCCGCUAUGGGUGGGGCUUCACGUCGCCUGUGGUCGGGACAAAUUCGCCAACCCGCGAAACCAAUCGAAACCCGAUCGUAGUCCGGAUGCCAGUCUGCAACUCGACUGCGUGAAGUCGGAAUCGCUGGUAAUCGCGGAUCAGCAUGUCGCGGUGAAUACGUUCCCGGGUCUUGUACACACCGCCCGUCACACCGUAAGUGGGUUUACCAGAAGUAGUUAGCCUAACCGUAAGGGCGAUUACCACGGUGGGAUUCACAUGACUAAGUGAAGUCAUGGCUAAGGUAG
RNAcentral lists this ribosomal RNA (1481 nucleotides) under uncultured Bordetella sp. Its description in RNAcentral is "partial 16S-23S ribosomal RNA intergenic spacer". It matches the Rfam family "Bacterial small subunit ribosomal RNA". Lineage: Bacteria; Pseudomonadati; Pseudomonadota; Betaproteobacteria; Burkholderiales; Alcaligenaceae. The record is from RNAcentral.